RNAcentral lists this unclassified non-coding RNA (198 nucleotides) under soil metagenome. RNAcentral describes it as "partial internal transcribed spacer 1". The record is from RNAcentral.
UUGAAUUGUCAAAGGGGUUGUUGCUGGCCUCUCAGCUGACAGGCAUGUGCACACCCCUUUUUCACAUCCAUUCACACUGUGCACCCUUUGUAGUCCGGAGUGAGGGCCUCUAAGGCUUUUACAACCUGGCACUACGUUUCUUUACAACACUUCUGUAUAGAAUGUCAACUCAGCGUAUAUAAACGCAGAAAUGUAAAA